This 69-nucleotide transfer RNA is filed under the name Philolithus sp. JR53. RNAcentral describes it as "tRNA-Val". The record is from RNAcentral. Lineage: Eukaryota; Metazoa; Arthropoda; Insecta; Coleoptera; Tenebrionidae.
CAAAUUAGAGCUUGAUUGAAGCAUUUUAUUUACAUUAAAAAGUUAAUUGUGAAAUUCAAUUUAAUUUGA